GAUGAACGCUGGCGGCGUGCUUAACACAUGCAAGUCGAACGAUGAAGCCCAGCUUGCUGGGUGGAUUAGUGGCGAACGGGUGAGUAACACGUGAGUAACCUGCCCUUAACUCUGGGAUAAGCCUGGGAAACUGGGUCUAAUACCGGAUAGGAGCGUCCACCGCAUGGUGGGUGUUGGAAAGAUUUAUCGGUUUUGGAUGGACUCGCGGCCUAUCAGCUUGUUGGUGAGGUAAUGGCUCACCAAGGCGACGACGGGUAGCCGGCCUGAGAGGGUGACCGGCCACACUGGGACUGAGACACGGCCCAGACUCCUACGGGAGGCAGCAGUGGGGAAUAUUGCACAAUGGGCGCAAGCCUGAUGCAGCGACGCCGCGUGAGGGAUGACGGCCUUCGGGUUGUAAACCUCUUUCAGUAGGGAAGAAGCGAAAGUGACGGACC
RNAcentral lists this ribosomal RNA (437 nucleotides) under Micrococcus luteus. RNAcentral's name for it is "bacterial SSU rRNA". It matches the Rfam family "Bacterial small subunit ribosomal RNA", at positions 28 to 478 of the family's 1533-position model. Lineage: Bacteria; Bacillati; Actinomycetota; Actinomycetes; Micrococcales; Micrococcaceae. The record is from RNAcentral.